AGUGUUAAAUAGAUUUCUAUGUUUAAUUACGGUUUAAAAAGAUUAAUACUUUUG
This 54-nucleotide transfer RNA is filed under the name Parafilaroides normani. RNAcentral's name for it is "tRNA-Arg". Lineage: Eukaryota; Metazoa; Nematoda; Chromadorea; Rhabditida; Filaroididae. The record is from RNAcentral.